RNAcentral lists this ribosomal RNA (745 nucleotides) under uncultured bacterium. RNAcentral's name for it is "bacterial SSU rRNA". It matches the Rfam family "Bacterial small subunit ribosomal RNA", at positions 33 to 773 of the family's 1533-position model. The record is from RNAcentral.
ACGCUGGCGGCAGGCCUAACACAUGCAAGUCGAGCGGUAGAGAGAAGCUUGCUUCUCUUGAGAGCGGCGGACGGGUGAGUAAUGCCUAGGAAUCUGCCUGGUAGUGGGGGAUAACGUUCGGAAACGGACGCUAAUACCGCAUACGUCCUACGGGAGAAAGCAGGGGACCUUCGGGCCUUGCGCUAUCAGAUGAGCCUAGGUCGGAUUAGCUAGUUGGUGGGGUAAUGGCUCACCAAGGCGACGAUCCGUAACUGGUCUGAGAGGAUGAUCAGUCACACUGGAACUGAGACACGGUCCAGACUCCUACGGGAGGCAGCAGUGGGGAAUAUUGGACAAUGGGCGAAAGCCUGAUCCAGCCAUGCCGCGUGUGUGAAGAAGGUCUUCGGAUUGUAAAGCACUUUAAGUUGGGAGGAAGGGCAGUUGCCUAAUACGUAACUGUUUUGACGUUACCGACAGAAUAAGCACCGGCUAACUCUGUGCCAGCAGCCGCGGUAAUACAGAGGGUGCAAGCGUUAAUCGGAAUUACUGGGCGUAAGGCGCGCGUAGGUGGUUUGUUAAGUUGGAUGUGAAAUCCCCGGGCUCAACCUGGGAACUGCAUUCAAAACUGACUGACUAGAGUAUGGUAGAGGGUGGUGGAAUUUCCUGUGUAGCGGUGAAAUGCGUAGACAUAGGAAGGAACACCAGUGGCGAAGGCGACCACCUGGACUGAUACUGACACUGAGGUGCGAAAGCGUGGGGAGCAAAC